Molecule: ribosomal RNA, 254 nt
Filed under: uncultured bacterium
Lineage: Bacteria
Description: partial 16S ribosomal RNA
Rfam family: Bacterial small subunit ribosomal RNA
Source: RNAcentral
UACGUAGGUGGCAAGCGUUGUCCGGAAUUACUGGGCGUAAAGGGCGCGUAGGCGGUCAGCACAAGUCAGUUGUGAAAUCUCCGGGCUUAACUCGGAAAGGUCAACUGAUACUGUGCGACUAGAGUGCGGAAGGGGCAACUGGAAUUCUCGGUGUAGCGGUGAAAUGCGUAGAUAUCGAGAGGAACACCUGCGGCGAAGGCGGGUUGCUGGGCCGACACUGACGCUGAUGCGCGAAAGCCAGGGGAGCGAACGGG